Myiozetetes cayanensis is the source of this 1976-nucleotide long non-coding RNA. RefSeq lists it as uncharacterized. NCBI's taxonomy places the organism in Eukaryota, Metazoa, Chordata, Aves, Passeriformes, Tyrannidae. The transcript is spliced from 6 exons. The record is from RefSeq and is a predicted model, not a curated record.
GAAAAGAACAGGUUUUUACUAUCCCAAGAACUUGCCAGUCAAGAUGAAAAACUUCUUCUAAUGGAAUCCAGCUUGAAAGCAACUCAAGACCAGCUAAGUGAGCAAAUAGCAGAAACAUUUUGCUAAGAACAGAACAGUAGAAAAUCAGAGACGAAGAGCUGGAGACCCUGAGAAAGCGUACUAUAACUUCUGAAGAAGAAAUUAGUGAUUACAAACACCAUGGUUAUGACUGGGAAGAGCUGAAUUGAUUGCAACGGAAAUCUACCUGACACUGGGCCAAAAGUUUUCAAAGCCCCACAGCUCUGUAGGUAAAUAAGAAGUUUUCUUUCAAAGUCAGUUUACCAAGGCCAUUUACCAAGGCCCUUACUUAGCAUCACAGGAAAGGCAGUGAUCAAGGAAUUGACGGAGGACAUGCAUUAAAUAGAGGUGUGUGCCUGGAAGAUGGGGAGAAUGGCAUAUUCAAUUUCCUUGUGGUAUAUAUUAAAUUUUUAAGAACGUAUUUGCCUGGUCUUCUGCUGGAUUUAGUCAAGCUUCAGCUGUCAGGUAAGUAAGCAUUGUAUAAACAUUUUCUUUUUUGUACUGAUGUUUAGCCUCCUUUCAUUCAGACUUCAUGAUUUUUACAUUUUUGCAUAUAGUAGAUUAUUUGUUGUUAGCAACCAUUAUAUCAAAAAAUAUACUGUGAAAGAAAAGUCAAACAAAGAGCUAAAUUUUCAGAGUGAAAAACAGGUUUACAUAUUGCUUCAAUACAGAAUAAACAAUAUCUAAAAAAAAAAUUCCAUUGGUUUCCUUGUUGCUCUUUAUUGUUACUCUAUCAAUAGCUGUUAGAUUUUACUCUUUCUGUUGCUGUAAGACCAAAUUAUUACACAUCUUCUAACUACUUUAUUUCUUUGAACUGAAGUUCUAUCUUUAAAAAGGAUAGUAUAUCUUAGUUACACUGGUAAAAUGACUGUUGGCUAAAAUGCAUACAAGUAGAGGAGAUAUUACUACCUGUACAAAGUGGAAUUAAGGGUGUAUGAUCCACUUUUGCUUCAUUGCAUGCUUAAUAUUGUUGGAAAAUUUAGAGUUAUAACGGUACUUCUGAGGUGAGUGUCAAAAAAUAGAAAAAUAUAAGUGUUUAAAAAAUUAGUCCAAGGAAUCUGAGCCUUGUCUAUGAGGACUCUUUAUUCGUUUCUCCUUAUUAUUCUUUUAUCGGGACUAUCACUUGUAAGUCACGUGAGACCAUUCUCCAAAAUUCACGUCAAUGAAUAAUUUACUCCAAAUUUGGUAUAAUCACAGGAGACAUUUGAGGCACCUACUACUGCUUAGUAGCAACCUGAAUGAGGGGGUUGAGCAUUUGUGUGUGUGUGAUGCUGCUCUACCAUUUCUGCUUACAUAAUGUUUUAACUUCCAUGUGUAAAGUACUUUAGAAAUUACUAUUUCAAUUUAAUUUAUUUUUCCCUUCAUUCCCCAAUAAUAAUUUUGUUUUCUAGUUUAAUUUCAGGAAACCUAUUGAGAGCUACAUGCAAAUGCCUUGCUUCAAAAUGAAAAUUUCUAGAAUUAUAGCCGCCACCUCACGUGCUAUGUACUGUAACCACUCUAUAGCAAUUUGUGCUUGUGUAAAUUGGGAUGUAGAAUAGUUGACGUCUUUUAUGUUACAUCACUUCAUGACUUUUAUCUUCCAGGUCAGAUACAACUGAAGAAAUAUCUCAGGCUUGCUAAAUUGACUUUGCACCACACAAGGCUCCACUCAGGUACUGGAAGACCUCAAUUAGGUUACUCCUGAGCCAUCUGUUUUCCAGGUUGAACAAACCCAAGUCUCUCAGUCUUUGCUCGUAGGAGAGGUGCUCCAUCCUUCUAAUCAUCUUGUAGCCCUCCCUCUGGACUCGAUCCAACAGGUUGAUGUCCUUCCUGUGCUAUAUGUGCUGUAUGUUGACAAGAUAAUGCUUUUUUCAUUCUGUGUAAUCAUUUCUGUAUAAAGUGUUGCAUAUAGUUAUAAA